Non-coding RNA from Cricetulus griseus (Chinese hamster), 818 nucleotides. The record is from RefSeq and is a predicted model, not a curated record. Lineage: Eukaryota; Metazoa; Chordata; Mammalia; Rodentia; Cricetidae.
CUGCCUCACAGCCCCCUUCUUAGGGCAGUUCUUCACACACAUCACUCUUGGGAGGAUGAGGCAAGAGGAUCAUGAAUUUGAGACACCCAGAGCUACAGAGUUGACAUCUGCAAUCAACUUGACUGGACUCAGAAUCAUCAUGGAAGCAUUAUCACUGGUGUGUUUGUUAGGGUGUUUCCAGCAAGGUUUAACAAAGGAAGGAAGACCCACUCUGAAUACACAUGCUGCUGCACCAUGGAGGAUAUGGGGAAGAAUCAGCUUUCCCAUGAAGUUAAAAGCUCUCAGAAGAUCCUGGAUGAACCAUUCUAAAGAGAUCACCAUUGGAACUUCUGUGUGGUUUUGGUUUUGAUUGUCUUUGUUUGCAAUGAGCCAAGAUGAAGACAUUCUGAAUUUUUUUUUAACUUCUGUCUUUCACAAGCUGGAGAACAUUGCCCCACUCAAUGAAUGAACUUGGAAGAGCCAUGAGUAGGAAAGAAUAAAGUUGCCAUUGCUCAUCUCAUGGAAGUCCUGUAAACAGCCCAUGCUAACAUGUUUUCUUGCCAUCCACUUUUUAAACUAUCUUCAUUCAGUCAUAAAGUUUCUUCAACUUUUCUAACCAACCCAUUUGGUACCUCCAAGCUCUUAUACAUGCUAAUCUCCUUGCCUGUAAUGCCCUCCUCCCUCCUUCCCCCUCUCUCUUCCCUAUUUGGCUAAUUUUUAUUUAGCUUUUGGAAGUGUCUGUCAAAUAUCACCUUCUCUUUGAACUAACCAGUCCUUCCAUGCCUUCCCGGCCAGCCUCGGUUAGAGCUCUACUCCUAAACAAUAAAUACGUCAUAUCA